RNAcentral lists this ribosomal RNA (724 nucleotides) under Micrococcaceae bacterium. RNAcentral describes it as "bacterial SSU rRNA". It matches the Rfam family "Bacterial small subunit ribosomal RNA", at positions 67 to 803 of the family's 1533-position model. Lineage: Bacteria; Bacillati; Actinomycetota; Actinomycetes; Micrococcales; Micrococcaceae. The record is from RNAcentral.
CGAUGACCCCCAGCUUGCUGGGGUGAUUAGUGGCGAACGGGUGANUAACACGUGAGUAACCUGCCCCUGACUCUGGGAUAANCCCGGGAAACUGGGUCUAAUACUGGAUAUGCACCGUAAGCCGCAUGGCUUUUGGUGGAAAGAUUUUUUGGUCAGGGAUGGACUCGCGGCCUAUCAGCUUGUUGGUGAGGUAAUGGCUCACCAAGGCGACGACGGGUAGCCGGCCUGAGAGGGUGACCGGCCACACUGGGACUGAGACACGGCCCAGACUCCUACGGGAGGCAGCAGUGGGGAAUAUUGCACAAUGGGCGAAAGCCUGAUGCAGCGACGCCGCGUGAGGGAUGACGGCCUUCGGGUUGUAAACCUCUUUCAGUAGGGAAGAAGCGAAAGUGACGGUACCUGCAGAAGAAGCGCCGGCUAACUACGUGCCAGCAGCCGCGGUAAUACGUAGGGCGCAAGCGUUAUCCGGAAUUAUUGGGCGUAAAGAGCUCGUAGGCGGUUUGUCGCGUCUGCCGUGAAAGUCCGAGGCUCAACCUCGGAUCUGCGGUGGGUACGGGCAGACUAGAGUGAUGUAGGGGAGACUGGAAUUCCUGGUGUAGCGGUGAAAUGCGCAGAUAUCAGGAGGAACACCGAUGGCGAAGGCAGGUCUCUGGGCAUUAACUGACGCUGAGGAGCGAAAGCAUGGGGAGCGAACAGGAUUAGAUACCCUGGUAGUCCAUGCCGU